This 482-nucleotide ribosomal RNA is filed under the name uncultured bacterium. Its description in RNAcentral is "bacterial SSU rRNA". It matches the Rfam family "Bacterial small subunit ribosomal RNA", at positions 28 to 524 of the family's 1533-position model. The record is from RNAcentral.
GACGAACGCUGGCGGCGUGCUUAACACAUGCAAGUCGAACGGUGAACCCUGCUUGCGGGGGGAUCAGUGGCGAACGGGUGAGUAACACGUGGGCAACCUGCCCCCGGCUCUGGGAUAACUCCAAGAAAUUGGGGCUAAUACCGGAUAUGACUGCUGACCGCAUGGUCUGGUGGUGGAAAGAUUUAUCGGCUGGGGAUGGGCCCGCGGCCUAUCAGCUUGUUGGUGGGGUAGUGGCCUACCAAGGCGACGACGGGUAGCCGGCCUGAGAGGGUGACCGGCCACACUGGGACUGAGACACGGCCCAGACUCCUACGGGAGGCAGCAGUGGGGAAUAUUGCGCAAUGGGCGGAAGCCUGACGCAGCGACGCCGCGUGGGGGAUGACGGCCUUCGGGUUGUAAACCUCUUUCAGCAGGGAAGAAGCGAAAGUGACGGUACCUGCAGAAGAAGCACCGGCUAACUACGUGCCAGCCGCCGCGUAAAC